CAGCCGCCGCGGGAAUACGAAGGGUGCAAGCGUUAAUCGGAAUUACUGGGCGUAAAGCGUGCGUAGGCGGUUUGUUAAGUCUGCUGUGAAAUCCCCGGGCUCAACCUGGGAAUGGCAGUGGAUACUGGCAAGCUAGAGUGUGUCAGAGGAUGGUGGAAUUCCCGGUGUAGCGGUGAAAUGCGUAGAGAUCGGGAGGAACAUCAGUGGCGAAGGCGGCCAUCUGGGACAACACUGACGCUGAGGCACGAAAGCGUGGGGAGCAAACAGGAUUAGAUACCCCGGUAGUCCCUGUCUCUUAUAA
RNAcentral lists this ribosomal RNA (301 nucleotides) under uncultured bacterium. Its description in RNAcentral is "partial 16S ribosomal RNA". It matches the Rfam family "Bacterial small subunit ribosomal RNA", at positions 509 to 809 of the family's 1533-position model. The record is from RNAcentral.